UCCCUGGUGGAUCAAAUGGUAAAGCGUCUGUCUACAAUGCAGGAGACCCAGGUUCAAUUCCUGGGUUGGGAA
This 72-nucleotide transfer RNA is filed under the name Ovis aries (sheep). It matches the Rfam family "tRNA". From Rfam's summary of the family: Transfer RNA (tRNA) molecules are approximately 80 nucleotides in length. Their secondary structure includes four short double-helical elements and three loops (D, anti-codon, and T loops). Further hydrogen bonds mediate the characteristic L-shaped molecular structure. tRNAs have two regions of fundamental functional importance: the anti-codon, which is responsible for specific mRNA codon recognition, and the 3' end, to which the tRNAs corresponding amino acid is attached (by aminoacyl-tRNA synthetases). tRNAs cope with the degeneracy of the genetic code in two manners: having more than one tRNA (with a specific anti-codon) for a particular amino acid; and 'wobble' base-pairing, i.e. permitting non-standard base-pairing at the 3rd anti-codon position. Lineage: Eukaryota; Metazoa; Chordata; Mammalia; Artiodactyla; Bovidae. The record is from Rfam by way of RNAcentral.